This 158-nucleotide ribosomal RNA is filed under the name Crucellisporium umtamvunae. Its description in RNAcentral is "5.8S ribosomal RNA". It matches the Rfam family "5.8S ribosomal RNA". From Rfam's summary of the family: 5.8S ribosomal RNA (5.8S rRNA) is a component of the large subunit of the eukaryotic ribosome. The record is from RNAcentral. Lineage: Eukaryota; Fungi; Ascomycota; Leotiomycetes; Helotiales.
AAAACUUUCAACAACGGAUCUCUUGGUUCUGGCAUCGAUGAAGAACGCAGCGAAAUGCGAUAAGUAAUGUGAAUUGCAGAAUUCAGUGAAUCAUCGAAUCUUUGAACGCACAUUGCACCCCUUGGUACUCCGGGGGGUAUGCCUGUUCGAGCGUCAUU